GAUGAACGCUGGCGGCGUGCCUAAUACAUGCAAGUCGAGCGAACAGACGAGGAGCUUGCUCCUCUGACGUUAGCGGCGGACGGGUGAGUAACACGUGGAUAACCUACCUAUAAGACUGGGAUAACUUCGGGAAACCGGAGCUAAUACCGGAUAAUAUAUUGAACCGCAUGGUUCAAUAGUGAAAGACGGUUUUGCUGUCACUUAUAGAUGGAUCCGCGCCGCAUUAGCUAGUUGGUAAGGUAACGGCUUACCAAGGCAACGAUGCGUAGCCGACCUGAGAGGGGGAUCGGCCACACUGGAACUGAGACACGGUCCAGACUCCUACGGGAGGCAGCAGUAGGGAAUCUUCCGCAAUGGGCGAAAGCCUGACGGAGCAACGCCGCGUGAGUGAUGAAGGUCUUCGGAUCGUAAAACUCUGUUAUUAGGGAAGAACAAAUGUGUAAGUAACUAUGCACGUCUUGACGGUACCUAAUCAGAAAGCCACGGCUAACUACGG
RNAcentral lists this ribosomal RNA (496 nucleotides) under uncultured bacterium. Its description in RNAcentral is "partial 16S ribosomal RNA". It matches the Rfam family "Bacterial small subunit ribosomal RNA", at positions 28 to 506 of the family's 1533-position model. The record is from RNAcentral.